Molecule: ribosomal RNA, 424 nt
Filed under: Verrucomicrobiota bacterium
Lineage: Bacteria; Pseudomonadati; Verrucomicrobiota
Description: Verrucomicrobia bacterium partial 16S ribosomal RNA
Rfam family: Bacterial small subunit ribosomal RNA
Source: RNAcentral
UGAGGAAUAUUGGUCAAUGGGCGAGAGCCUGAACCAGCCAAGUAGCGUGCAGGAUGACGGCCCUAUGGGUUGUAAACUGCUUUUAUAUUGGAAUAAAGUGAGGGACGUGUCCCUUAUUGCAUGUACCAUACGAAUAAGGACCGGCUAAUUCCGUGCCAGCAGCCGCGGUAAUACGGAAGGUCCAGGCGUUAUCCGGAUUUAUUGGGUUUAAAGGGAGCGUAGGCUGUUUGUUAAGCGUGUUGUGAAAUGUAAGAGCUCAACUUUUAGAUUGCAGCGCGAACUGGCAGACUUGAGUGCGCACAACGUAGGCGGAAUUCAUGGUGUAGCGGUGAAAUGCUUAGAUAUCAUGACGAACUCCGAUUGCGAAGGCAGCUUACGGGAGCGCAACUGACGCUAAAGCUCGAAGGUGCGGGUAUCGAACAGG